Molecule: ribosomal RNA, 227 nt
Filed under: uncultured bacterium
Lineage: Bacteria
Description: partial 16S ribosomal RNA
Rfam family: Bacterial small subunit ribosomal RNA
Source: RNAcentral
UGAGUAACACGUAUCCAACCUGCCGUCUACUCUUGGACAGCCUUCUGAAAGAAAGAUUAAUACAAGAUGGCAUCAUGAGUUCACAUGUUCACAUGAUUAAAGGUAUUCCGGUAGACGAUGGGGAUGCGUUCCAUUAGAUAGUAGGCGGGGUAACGGCCCACCAAGACUACGAUGGAUAGGGGUUCUGAGAGGAAGGUCCCCCACAUUGGAACUGAGACACGGUCCAA